Molecule: ribosomal RNA, 236 nt
Filed under: uncultured Pseudomonas sp.
Lineage: Bacteria; Pseudomonadati; Pseudomonadota; Gammaproteobacteria; Pseudomonadales; Pseudomonadaceae
Description: partial 16S ribosomal RNA
Rfam family: Bacterial small subunit ribosomal RNA
Source: RNAcentral
UGUGUGAAGAAGGUCUUCGGAUUGUAAAGCACUUUAAGUUGGGAGGAAGGGCAUUAACCUAAUACGUUAGUGUUUUGACGUUACCGACAGAAUAAGCACCGGCUAACUCUGUGCCAGCAGCCGCGGUAAUACAGAGGGUGCAAGCGUUAAUCGGAAUUACUGGGCGUAAAGCGCGCGUAGGUGGUUUGUUAAGUUGGAUGUGAAAGCCCCGGGCUCAACCUUGGAACUGCAUCCAA